Molecule: long non-coding RNA, 24516 nt
Organism: Gallus gallus (chicken)
Lineage: Eukaryota; Metazoa; Chordata; Aves; Galliformes; Phasianidae
Exons: 5
Source: RefSeq, a predicted model, not a curated record
GUCAAAAGUGUGUUUUGUAAGAGCUGGCUGGGCUCCUGUUUCCACGUUACGAACCCAAAGCAGUUAGCUGCCUUUUUUGGGGGCCUCUGCUUUUCCAAAUCAGUGUGCAACUUUGUCUUGUCCUUUAUAUAAAGGCUGCAGGAGUUGGGAGGACACAAUCCAGGUAUGUUUUCACGAGGAACCUCUUGGUGGAGGUGAGUUUCUCCCAGCAGGCUGGGCAUGGUGUGACAGCUUGGACAACGUGACCAUGGUGGUAAGGAAAAAAACCUGUGUUGGGGGAUGGGACCAACUCACUAAGAGGCUCCUGGUGCUUACAAGAUAGGAGCAAGCAGGGACACGUUGGCUCUAGCUGUCUCUCCCUUUGUCUCUGUACAAAUCUCAGUUUCUCCAACCCUCCUGAUGCUUGCAGCAAGGAGUUUGUUUUCUUUUCCCCUGAAGUGUCUGAACAGCUGAGGCUGAAAAUCCUGUUCUUGCCUCUGCCUCCCCCCUGUUCCCUCAGCUGCUCCCCAUCAGACUUGUGCCCAGACCCUGCACAGCUUUGUUGUCCUCUGGCCAUGGCCCAGUGCCUCAAUGUCUGUCUUGUAGUGAAAAGUACCUCCAGCAUCCAGAAGUUUGAGCACUGAAAAGCAUCCUCUGGGGUGUUUGAAACCUUACCUUAGUGCUGGAGAUGGGGUGCAAUUGUCCAAAUAGUCAUGUCUUCAAGUUACGUUUCACAUCAUGCAGCUGGGGCUGGUGUGAAGCUGGCUUUGUGAACCUCAUGGUAGAAAUGGGCACGUUGGGGUGGUAGCCUGCCUCCAUUAGCCUGAGGAGGUGGAGAGGGGAUGGAGAGCAUGCUUUGCUUCGUCAGCGUGUUAGCCAUCCCUCUGCUUGUGGGCUGUCACAUCUGGGGCAUGGAGGGGGCAAACAUCAAGAGUGGCCCUCAGGGGAAAUGAGACACCUGUGGCGUUCAGUUGCUGGCCAUUGCCUGGCUGUUUUCUCUUUCACGCAUUUCUGCCUGUCAAGCCCAGAAAAUGGUAUUUAAUUUGCAGAUAGACUGCACAGAUGGAAUAAAUAUAUGCAUACCUGUGCCUUUGGUUAGGUUUAGGUAUUUGUUGGGGCGGGGGGCAAAAAUGCUUCUUGGCUGAGGGUCUUGCAUUUUAUGCAAAGGAGGAAUUUAGCUUCAUAGCUGCCUAUUAGAGUUGUAGCAGCAGUCUUGUUAAACCUGCUCGUGUCCUGGAUGAUCUGUUGCAAUCCAAGUGUUUCUCAGCCCGAAAGAGGACACUGAGAUCUGGGCUAUGGGAACUGGAGCACGGCACUGUGUGUUACCCAUAGGUGGAGGAGCUGGAAGGUGCCUGCCCUGGCACCUCUGCCAUCGGCCAGCAUUGACAAACUGAUAUCCUGUGUGGGAGGACGCUAAGAUCCUUCCGGAAAGAAAUGCUCCCAGAUAUUCUUAUUGACAGAGGUGCAAAUGGAAAUAGGGAUUAUGGACUACCUGUUCAAUCUGUAACCAGCAGGUUCAACAGCUGAAAGAAAUCAAUCAGGAAGUCAGUGGGUGCUUCAUGGUAUUUUAGCACUACGCAUCCAAUACUUCUAACCGUGCCCUUUCAGGACUUGCGCUCCAGAAAAUCCCAUACCAACAUUGCAGUCUGGUGUUCCAAAUUGCAGAGCUGUUAAUAACUUGCUGAAGAUUAGGACAAGGACUUCAAAUGUGCAGAGCUGCGCUCAGGACCUGGUUUUGCAUGUUUGGUUUUUACUGCUCCUGCAAGAAGCAGAACACAGUUAUUGCCUUGAGUGCUACUACUCAUUAAUCCAAGCUCUGUGGAGUAGUUUCUUUUGUUAUAAAUCAGUCAUUAAGGUAAUCUUGUGUAGCUCACUGUUAUAAAAUAUCAGGAUAUAUGAUUUUACUAUACAUUAAUAGAGUACAACUUUCUUCGGCACUGCUAUUUCUGAACACCCCACAGCUAGCAACAGUCAGAUUCAUAUAAUUUUUCCCACUUUGUAGGGUUUUUUUUAAGUCCAGUUCUUGUACAGCUUCUUUUCCCUGGUUAUUGAGUUAUUAAGGUCCUAUCGCUUCUGGGGACAGGGUUCAGAAAGUCUUUGGGGAGAACAGGUUUGCAUCCUGAACUUGGAAGCAAGUACUACAGGCCCCAGUUUGCAAACAAGGAACCACAAUGCUAAUUAUUUUCGUUGCUUAUUUAACUCUUGAUGGGUGCCAUGAGCCAAUUAAAAUCACCACUGUUACUUAGAGGUGGCGUGAAACCUAAAUGAGGAAGCAGGAGAGGUAAGUGACAGUGCCUUGUGUAGGAGGUUCUGCUGUUGUGGUGGGCAAGAAAGUCAAGUCAACAAGUCAAGCAAGUCAACUUGGGAGUUCGCUUCUGAGUACCUUCCAGUACUUAAAGGGAGUGUAUAAACAGGAGGGGGAAUGGUUGUUUACGAGGAUGGAUAGUUAUAGAACAAGGGGGAAUGGUUUUAAACUGAAACAGGGGAGGUUUAGGUUGGAUAUUAGGAGGAAGUCGUUCACACGAAGUGAUGAUGCACUGGAACAGGUUGCCCAAGGAGGUUGUGGAUGCCCCAUCCCCGGAGGCAUUCAAGGCCGGGCUGGAUGUAGCUCUGGGCAGCCUGAUGUGGUGGCUGGUGACCCUGCACAUAUCAGGGGGGUUGAAACUAGAUGAUCAUUGUGGUCCUUUUCAACCCAGGCCGUUCUGUUAUCCUAUAUUUCUGUUCAAAAAAUGAAAAGGAGGAGAGAUGAUCACAGGCCUCCAGCAGUGGAGAUUGAAGAUGCUAAAUACUGUAAAACUAUGUUAUAACUCUUACAGCUCAUUUGUAAUGAUAUUGGAUGCGUGAAGCAAGCCAUGAAGAGCAUCCACGCAUGCGGGACAAAACGCACUUGAAAAACUACAGUUUGGGGUUUAAAAAAAAAAUUAAUGUCUUUCAAAUGGGUCUUGAGAAAAUUUUCUUUAACUGUGGGGAAUUGGCAUAAUGAUGUAAAGUCAGCCUGGAAAGCUGCACAGUGCUUGUGGGUCCGAACGUGAAAUUAGAAGUAACAUAUAUGCUGAGCUAUGAGACAGAUAUUGCCUUAAUGAAAGGCAUAGCAGUGACACUGCGUGAACUUAAUGUUUAGCCAGUGACGUCUGCACUUCACAAGAGCCCAUGGGAGGCAAUUAGGAGGGCUGCAGAAGGAGGGAAUAAUUUUACCUGUCAGCUUUGUAAGUGGGCAGCUUUUUGUGUGUGUGCGCAUAUGUGCGUGUAUUUGUAUGCGUAUGAAAUACCCAGAAAGUAAUGAGAUGGAGAGGCUCAGUGGGGACUGUCAAGGCUGUGGUUGGAGGUGGGGAAGCAGCUAUUUCCAAACCCACAAGAUUUAUUUGUGGAACUGGUGGAGAGGUGGGGGGUGAAGGUAGCAGACUUUAGCCUUCAGGGCUUUCAUCUGCUUUAAAUUCAGGUUGUUGGUGUUUUUUUUUUUUUAAUGGUUAUUUGUGAGAGUGAGCAGGUAGGUUACCACACAUGUCUUACAGAUGACUUCAUUACGUUUGUAUUUCAAAUUUGUUCUCUGGUUGUUAUUUCUUUCCAGGUUUUUCAGAACGUGACUGAGGAGCAGUAGGUGGAGGAGGCUCCGAACUCACAGCGUGCAGCUCGUGGGUCUCAGGUUAAUUUAGGUCAGCUGAGAUGCAGUGCUGGACAAAGAAUGCUGUUGUUCUGUCCAGAGUUAACCCAGCAAACGGGAGCUUUCUCUUCACGAGAUCAUUAAGGUUGGAUGGAUCUCUAAGAUCACCUGGUCCAACCGUCAACCCAUCACCGCCGUUUUUGGAGUGAAGAUUAAAUGGUGCCAGCAGCUGUGUGCAAGUUGUCCUUCAUCCAGGAACAUGCAAACACCAGAACUGCAGUGCAAAAUACUCCUGAAGUUCAGCAAGGUUUGGCUGAAGUCUGAUGUAGACCUUGUGGUCACCCUUGUCUUCAGCUACUACUGAGCCCCUGGUCCUUCACCUCCAUUGGUUUUGGGAGAUAUGGAUCUGCGCUACUUCUCCUCCAGGGCAGGUGAAGGCAAUGAGGGAGAGCAAGAGAAUACUGAAAUGCCGACUCCUAAACAAACAUCUCCAGACCUUGGCUCUGGUGCUCUGAGGCAGAGAUGGAUCGAGUUGUGGCAGCUUCUGUCACCCAUCAAGGUAUCUGCUCUGCCAGAAGUCAUUGGCCUGUAUGUGUGGGCAAAGUGAAUACACAGCAGAACAGCUGGGAACCCGUCUUCAAGCAGUGCUUUGAGCUAAAACACUUGUGUGACUCAGAGGCGGUUUUUUUUGGUGGGAUAUGAAUGAACCAGAGCUCAAAAUCUUGGCUUGAAUUGAGGGCAGAGGUAGAAGAUGCCUCAUUUAGCCUGAGGAAUGCUUUUGACAGACACGUUGCUGCCACAUGGCUUGGCUGGGAAAAGAAGUUGUACCUCUCUAGAGAGUGGAAAGAUUGCACCAAAAUCCUGCUGUAGGAACACCAGGUUGUCUCUUGACUGCUUGUAGUCCAGCAAGGAGGAAGAAACUGAUAGCUCAUCCAAACUUGCUAAUGGAAAAAAUCACACUUAAAUCUAUUUCGUGGUCUUGUGUGAGUCACAGCAGUGCUUGGUGCUUAUCCUUGAGUGGAAAGGUUCUGGUGGGGAGGAGCUGCGGUGUUAUUUUUCCAAAGGGCUGAUUAUUUAGCUCUGCCCAAUUUGGGAAGUGGGGCUAUCACCGUCUUGCUGUUAUCACCCUUUCAGCAAGGCAGAUAGCAGCCAGCGCAUUACUCACCAUUACCCCAUAGCUAUCUGUUUUUUGAUUAUGUGUUACAAGAAGUGGCAGCCGAAGCCGUGAAGCCUCUUCAGCACUGGCUGAAGCCACCUCCUCCGGGCUGUGAUGCUCUUGUCCUCGUCACCUGCCCUGGAGGCUGUGAGCCUUGGUGACUCUGCUCUGUUGGCACUCAAUUAGCCACUUCUCCCGGGGAUUAACGGGUGGGGAGGAUAUAAGCUGUGCUGCAGAUAAGUUCUCUGACUUGCCAAAACUGCAGUAAUGAGGGAGCUUCCUUAUAGUUAGGAAAAAAAGCUCCUCUCAACCUGUUGCUAUUAUCUUCCUGACAGCUGGCUCUGAGGCACCACGAAGGUAUUUAACCUCUUACUGCCACUCUGCAGCUCUGCAUAGGGUUUCAGUGGCUACACAGGGAAUUCUUAGCUCUGUUUUGCAGGUGUAAAAUGGAGCCAUUCAGGACAGAGAAGCCACCAACAUCUUGCUGCAAAUCCAUGAUGCAGCGGGGAGUGCAGACCAGCUUGCCUUGCACUCUGGGUUUGCUCCACUGUGUGUUCACACGUGCUAGAGUUGUGGGUCUGCAUAAGCAGCUAACGUUCCUGCUUUUGGAAGCAUUUGCUCUUUUGGUGCUGGAUUGAACCUCAGAUCUUGCUCUUAACUUGUUCUUUCGGGGUUAAAAUGGAAGCUUCUGGAAGAUAGGCUGGGAGCUUUCUCUACAGUUCUGCAGAAUGCACACAACUCCUAGCAGAGAUUUGAAACAAGAAGUGCAACUUUCAUUCAGGAGCUUGUAUGAAGUGAUCAGGACUGCAGAAUUCCUGCCCAGGAUGAAUGUGUCUGCGUGGUGCUUGGAAGGCAGUAAACAAUCCGCAAGGAAUUAACAGACAAAAGUCCCUGGCUUUGCUCCACCCUAUUGAAGGCAAUGGCAGAACUCCCAUUUACUUCAGUGGAAGUAACAAGUAGCGCCUGUGAGUGUGAAUGAUGAAUCAUUUUUAUGAUCAGGGUAUCUCUGUAAGUGUUGGUCUUUGUCCUUUAUCUGACUGAGGUCAUAAUUGAAUCAUGAGCAUCUUCUCAGGUGAAAUACAAAAGCAAACCGGGAGGAGGUGGCUUGUCCCCAGUAAGGAAUGCUGCAUGCAUGGUGCUCAGGGUUAGGAGUUUGCAGAAGCAUUUUUCUUCAUCUGUUCUGGUGCAGCCAGGGAUGUUAUUGUUGUAAGUAAUAGGGUGAUAUAACUAACUCAGAGGUGUAGUUCUUAUUUGGUUCUGUCAAUGGGCUCUAAAUGACCUCAUGAAGGAAGCUGUCUUGAGUUUUAGAUGGGAACCUGAGGCUCUACUGCGUGGCCAGAUACAUAAGGCUAGGGUUCAGCCUUCUCCUAAGUCCUAUCCAGCAUCUUAUCCCCUGCCUUUUAAAAGCUUUAUCCCUAAAAUGUGUCUUGAGCAAAGGACGCUGUAUUGUAGUUUUCCUAUUGAUUCCUUUCCUGGAGUUUAUGCCUUUUGAAGGAGAUGGGGCAUUGCUAAUUGCUUCAGCUGUUCUUGACUGUUACAGGGCACUUGAGCAGAACUGUGCAGCCUGAGCGUUUGUACUUGGUAAAAUAACCCCUCAGCCCCACAGAAUGGAAGGAUUAACAAGUUUAGCCUCCUUGAUUCAUUUUUGAAUUAUUCUCUACACCACCUUCGUCAGUGGCGCAGCAUAGCUGAAAGUAAGGCAGGGCUGCCACUGGAUUAGCUAAAGAUGAGUGCCACAGAAAUAAAGUGCUAUUGUCGCUCUUCAAGCAGUGACACUGACCGAAAUAAAGGACAUCUGGGUAGGAAAUAGCUGCCUGCUAUCCAUGGUGUACCCCAGCUUGCCAUGAAUGCUGGCUGUGCUAGGCAACCAGCAAAGGGAGCUGCAGGCAGCUGUAAGCCAGGCCAAAAAGAGGGAGAAAGAAAAGACCAACCCUGAGAAAGAGGGGUGCGUUCUUCCUUGCCGUGAUCUGGGCUGGAAGUCCUUUUAUUCUCAUCUUCUGUUGCGUUUUCCCCCUUCCUUUUUGUGCCCCAGCAGUGGGUCUGGGUGCAGGGCAGCAUUGGAUGGUCACGUCCCACCCCUCCUGUGAGUCGCGGGGGUUGUGGUUUGGGGAUCCCAUACAGCUGUGUGAGUGGGGUUAGGUUGCAAUGCUGUCUGUGAUCCAUGAAGGGAGGUGACACCCAUGGCUCCCUGAAGGACGUGGGUCUGACUCUGGGUGUUGCUGGAGCUCUAGCUUCACCUAUGGGUAAGCAGCCAGCCACAGCGUACAAGCCUUUUUGAGGCAGCUGGUGGCAGGUAUGCACUAUUCAGUGUUUUCAGUUUCCAACCAAUUUUUCCAGUCCGAUGCUCUGAAGAAGGCAGCAGUGGGCAGAAGGAUGCCUAAGAGCUUGCCCAAGGUUGGAGGAGAAGCCUGUGGCAGAGGGGAGUGGAUGGGCAGUGUGACUGCAGCAGUGGCCCCGAGGCUGUGACAGAGUGGGACUGGGAAGAGAGAGCAGGGCAGAAACCCCCUUUGGUGAUGAUCUCACCUCUCAAUUGUAUUUUGCUGUUCCUUUUGUCUUUGUGCUCCCUGUGCUCCCUGAAGAGCUGCUGCCCUGUUAGAAAGGCUUUGCCUCACCGCUUCCUUUAUCGUAACUGCAAGCAAUCAGUUCUCAAAAAAACAUAUAAACUCUUGAUUUGAAUAAUCAUUGUUCCUCUCAGACGCCUCCUGUCUUUAAGCACCGGAGCAGUGCUAUCCCACGAAGAUUGGGGUGCUGGCAGCACCCCAGGGCCCUCCUGCCCUUUGGCACGGAUUGGGGCUGAAUGUGGGAAGGGCUGCCAGCAGGGCCAGCUGUAGCUAAAGAAGCAGCCUCCAGAGGGAGAGAAGACUUUCUCUCUCUCUCUCAGGCUUUUCAACCAACGCUCAAAGUGAAAUGCGUUUAGAGAAGAAAAGGCUGGGCUUUCUGGCAGUACAAGACUCAGCCCUGCAAAUCUGCUCGGUAGCUUUGCUGCCUUUGAUGCUUCUCUUUAGUUUGAUCUUUCCCUUUGCUCCUGCUGGUGACUAUAGAGCUGAGACUGGGAUAAGGGAUCUCACCUAAAUGGAUGCAGGUCUGAGUAUCUUUUUUGGUCUGAGAUGCAUCAUCCCCACAUGUGAUAGGACAAACAUGCAACAGAAAACAAAUGGAAAACUCCUUAUCUCCAACAAGGAGCUGGCUCGUUAAAGGCAGCGAGAGGUUUGCAGCACCAGCCCUAGCAACAGCUCUGAAAGUUAUCCCAAACAUGUAAAUGAAGCCGAGCUCCAGCGAUGGGAGGCCAAGCCACCAUGAACCCGCUGCAUCACGCUAUUAAUACAAAGAGGGGCCUCAAUUAAUUAAACUCUUACAGGGUGACGCAAAAGCAUCAGAAGAAAUUUGCGGCGCACGUAAAGACAAAGCGUGUUGCACCAUACCUAAUUGCCAGAAUAAUUAUUUUCUGCUAUGCAAAUUAUCGUGAGCAAAUUCACUGCAGCUCAUUUGUGUGUAUUUAAUUAUCAUCAAGAGCUGGGGUUGAGGGACUAGAUUUAAUGUUUGUAAUGAAAUAGCAAGAAUUGGUGUGUGUGUGUGUGUGUGUGUGUGUGUUUGCAGAGAACUCGUUAUUUUACCACAGCUGGAUUUGUUUAUUUUAAAUAAAUCAUUAUGGCAGAUUCAGUUUUGCAUGUUUGCUCAUUUGCCGAUUUAUCAUAAAAACUGUGGUUUCAGUUAUAUGGGUGGUUUCUAUCAAACACAUAUGAUCCCUCUUGCUUGCAAGCGCCAUGUUUCUGUUUUAAGGAGGAGCUCAGCUCACAGAGAAGAUGAGUUUGCAUGCAAAUCAAGAGUGGAGAAGCGGGGGGAAUUGGGACAGCCAUCGUUGAGAAGAAAGCCUGGAUGUGGGUGUAGGUUUUGUGCUGGACUUCGGGUCUUUGUGUUUUAAUUCCAGCCUCACCCAGUUGUACACCAAUGUGCCUCUUGGUUUAUGUUUUUGUGUUGGCAUGUGUAAUGAUCCUAUGAUCAUAACAAAAAGCAGUAGAAGUGGAUGUGGAAUGCAAGGUACCACUUCUGACAUUUAUGUGGGUCUUUCGUAUUAAGAUGCAGGUUUCCUGGAGUAGUGCUGAACUGAAGAUACUGAGAUAUCAAUUACACCCUCAAGUUACAAGAAAAUAUUAAAUCUGGGAAGAAAAUGACACGUAAAAAGCAGAAUUUUCAUGCGUCCCUUGGUUUAGGAGCAGUUACAUGGAUGCAGUUGGCUUCCACCUGAUGUCCAACCAUCUCAUGUGGUCACCGCUCCAAAAAGAAGCAGAGAAGUUCCCAAACUGCCUGGAUCACAGCAUGCUCCAGAGAUGCCAGGUAAAAACAUAGAUGUAAUGCAACUAGCAAUACCAGCUGUAACCACAAAACAGCAAAUAGAAGCUCUUGGUUUCCUCCUGUAGAUUCGAACAGGAGAUGUAAGCGUAACAAAGAAGGGGUGAGGAAGGGACACAAAGGUAUCAGUGGGGACAGGCCAGCUUCUGGUGACAUCACCUGAGCCCCAGGGGUGCCCACAGAACCAUUAUCUGCUGUGUCUCUGUGCUGGUUUGCGUAUAAUUGAUGGUUCCUCCGAGGUUCUGCCUCCCCCUUCUCGGCGGGAUGCCCUCCUCUAUGUUAGUUUAUUUUUUAAAUAAUUAACAGACUUUGUGACUGCUUGUCUAUGCGUCCCCUUGGAAUUCCUCUCCAGCUGCUCUCAUCCAUCCCCACAGCUCCUCCCUCUCCUCUGCAGUGCUCUUUUCCUCUCGCUGCAUCUUAAAGCAUUGCCUUUUGUUUUGACUUCGCUGUGCAACACAAUCUCUGGGCACUUCUUUUUGAGCAGGAUUCCCUACUGCUGUUUGCUGGUGGCUGUAAUCCUCUUCUUCCUAGCAGCUGCCACUCCUAGCAAAGAUUUUGGUCUGAAUAAUUCUUGUGGGUGGGUGUAUCAUGUUAGAGACUUCAGUUGUUACUGAUGAUGAGGACAAGAGCCUGCUCCUACUCUCCCUAUGAAUCCACCUUGCUAUGGUAUGAGCAAUAGAGAAGCGUUAGCACUUCUUUGUCCAUUGGGAAAAUCAACUAUGGGAGGUGCUGCCUUCCCUUCUGCUGCCAUGUUGGCUCUUUCCCAGAGUCAAGUCCUACUAGCAGUAGAACUGCUGGAGGCAGUUGCUCCGUGUUUUGUGCUCUGUAUAAAUGCUCAGUUGGAAAUGGUAAUUUGUCUAAAAUCUUUGGGUCCUGCAGAAAUGCUGGUUCCCUGGCCUAGAUUUGGGGGUGAGAAAUGCUAGGACUGUGCUUGUUUGGUUGAAUGGGGCCCUGGGCAACCUCAUCUCGUGUCCAUCUUAGGGGUUGGCAACCCUGCCCUUGUGGCAGGGGUGUUGGAACUGGAUUAUCUGAGCCUCAUUGAGACUAUUUCACCUGGACCUCCCCUCAUGGUUAAUGAAAGACUUAAUCUGUUUGUUUUUCUUCCACCUCAUUUGAGGACCGUCUAUUCAUUUUAAAGACUUCAUAUAUGACCUUGCUUCCCAUCUUUACUUGCCUUGGCUUGCUGCUCUUCAGACUCAAGUCUUAAUUGACACACAGCUUGUGGCAUAGCUCGAGGCAAUGCCAAUAAUGCACAUAUUCAUGGCAUGGCAGGCCCCCUCCCUCGGCCACCAUCACUCAAAGCAUACAUCAGACAAGCUGCUGGCUUUGAUGUUGGCUUUUGGGUUUCCUCAAAAGAGGAAUACUGAGAAUCCCAUUGGCACUGUUCCGUGUGCCAGACAUCACAGCAAUAUCAUAAAAUCAUAGAAUGGCUUAGGUUGGAGGAGGACUUUAAAGAUCAUCGAGUUUCAACCUGCCUGCCAUGGGCAGGGUUGCCAACCACUAGAUAAGGGUAGAAAUGGCCCAGCACCCAUUGGGGGGAAUAUUUUGCAGUUCCUCAGCAGAUAGGGCUCUGUUGGAAUAAUCAAGAGCACUGUGGGCUUUGCGGUGAUGGGUGCUAUGGAAAUAAUAAUGAUUAGGGCUGGGGAUAGUGAUGGGGGCCAUCUGAGGCACCUGUCAGAGGAUGUUAGCCCUGCAAUUAGGAGGAGGGAAGGGACGGCGCAGCAAGAGUGAUGCUGUGGCAGGAAGGGCUUUUGUGUCAGCACGCAAAGCUUUUAUUCUCUGCAGGGCUGCUGGGAUUUGCUCUGGUCUCCUCCCAGACAAAUUAACCGAGAACAACACCUGCUCCUUUAAUAUUGACCAGGCUAAUGAUAGGCUAACUGCUGCAGACCUGCACUUUCCUUCUCUUUUCAAUGACGCGUAUGCAGGCUGUGAGCUCCCUUCUCUUUCCCUCUUGCCCCCAAGCCCACUUUUUCCCAUGGUGGAUGAGAUCCUCACCCCAAAACCACCACUGUAAAUCAGAAGAGUUGAAAGAUUUAGAACACCCCCCCCCUAAAAAACCACCAAAACACAAAACACCAAAAAAAAAAAAAAACCCUCAUUAAAAAGCCCCAAGCUGGCAAGAGGUGAAGGAUAUGUAAUUGCUAUUCCUUCUGCAGCCUGCUAAAGCUGCAUGUUUUAACCAUCUGAGGACAGCAGGGAAUUUUCCCUUCCAAGAGAGUCAAAUGUGGGGUUUUCAUUUUAUUUCUUUUCAGGAGGGGUGUGGGGAGAAAGAAGUGGACUUGGUUUUCAUUGGGAUUAGCUAAAGCUCCUUUCACUUUCAUGUUGGCAACAUGAGGUUUCAUCAGACCUCUGAUCCUGCACUGAAUAAAAAUAUAGCAUUACCGUCAAACUGUAAAACGGAGGGCUUGAACUUAACUGGAUUAAAGUGCUUUCGAGACAGCAUUCUUUGUUUAAUGGAGCGAUGGUGUUGGGCUGCCGUGCCCGAGCAUCCUGCAUCCCUGCUGGAGCAUCCAGGGGGUCCUGUUCUCUGUUGCUGGCUGGGCAGCCUCCUGCUGAAUUUUCUUAUGGAAUAUUCGUCUUGAUGCUCCAGUGCUCCCUCGCUGCAAUUCUGUGCAUUUCUUCCUGACGAGGCACUGCUGACAACGGGCUCGCUAAUCAGUAGGGUGCACCUCAUCUUCAUGGAGAUGUAUGCACGUGCUUUAAUUGCAAAUAAAUGCACUGAGCCGUAUUUGCGUAUCGUUUAGAGGUUGCCUUUCCCAUAUGAAUAAACACAUCCUUGGCUGCUUGUCCUCAUCCUCCGUGCACGCUGGUAGUGCUUUCACAGCCUGUUUGCCACCGUUGGCUCUUUGCUCGCUGCUUGGAUGCUUUUCUUGCCAGAUUUUGCAAGGUUCCCCCCUUCCCAGGGAGGAGGUGUGUUCUGCCUGGCAUCUGCUGAUGGCCCGAUGUAGUGAAGGUUUGAUGCUACGUUUUACAAUGGAGCCCAAGACCUGGGAGAACCCGUUUGUGCCACGUUGUGUGCUGUGCCUCCCGUCUCGGUGAGCGCUUGGAUGUAUCCCCAUACGUCCAGUAAUGAGCAUGGGCUAAUUGCCUAGGCAGAUAGGAAAAAUAGAUAGGUAAUUUGUAGCUAUUUAAUUUUACAUUAGGCAGAGGGAUGUUAGGGGCAGAGGCUAAUGUUGUUGGCAUUUCUUUUCAGGGUUGUUAACCAGAUAUGCUGCCUCUGGGGCAUAACAAUACCUCCCUCGGUAGUGCUCUCUAAUACUUUUAUUACGUUCUUAUUAAUUUAGCAAUGGCCUAAAGUCUGUGAGGCACCUUCCAAGGCAUGAUCCCUGCCCUGAGGACCUUACGGACUAAUUCCAAGGCAUGAUACAACUGGGGAUUACUCAGUGAGGGCAAGGGCCUAAUGGAGUAUGAAAUGGCUUCUAUUAGAUAAAUGGAUAAGAGUGAAUCAGUGGAAGAGUUAAUCACAUGGCUCCGUGUAGGCACGUGGGGUAAGUAUCACCUUGGGGCAGCAGUGUGGCUGAGGUCACUCCAAGCAGGGAACGUGGAUGGAGGUUGUCCCUCACCUCCCACCUUGUUGGACCAAAGGCAGAGCAUCGGGGGAAUAUUUCAGAGCGAAAUCCUGAAAUGGUGCCUUUCUGCCUUGGGUUUCAGCUCUCUGCAAGCCACAAAGUGAAGGUCCCAAACAGAGGAGAGGCCCGGAGGGGAGCGGGGGCUGCAUGAGGGCAUUGCUCAGGGGUGGCCUCAGCACCUGUCCUCCUCAUUUGAAGCCUGGAAGCUGCCCAGCGUGGGACAGAUGGGGCUGCUGGGCAGCGACAGCUGGGGGGGCAGAGGGCAGGAGGGAUGAAAGCGAGCUGGGCAGCCCUCCCCUCGCUGCCGGGGAACAUUUGGUGUCCAUGUGGCAUCUGGCAGCAGUGCUCGCUUCUCUGGCAUUUCCUCUGGUGAAAGGAAGAGCAGAGCAAUUUGGUCCCAGGAGGCUGCUUUGCUCAGCUACAAGGCAGCAGCCGCCUCCUGCCCCGGCUCUUUGGCUUGGUGCUGCAGCACAGACCCCAAACCACCCUCAAACCAGGAACCCCCACCCAGGUACAUGUCCUCUGCCCUAACUUAUUUCCUUUAUUAUUUGGUUUUUUUUUUCCAAACUGCCAAGAAACAAACAGUUGCAUCGCUUACUUUAACAACGAGUUGCUCCAGCAACUGGACAUCGGGUUUAGUGUGGCUGGCUGCAUCUUCUUGACAUCAUUGUUUGAUUUUUCAGUUGCUGGAGCAACAGAUUGCUAGGAAGGACCAGUGAGGUCGAGAUUUCUCUUUCUUUCUUCCUCCACGUUGCUUUUCUUUAGGCCCAGAGCAUCAGAGUCAGUUUGCCUUUCACUGAAGACACACACUGUUAACAUAUGAUGGGAAGAUGUCAGGCAGUAUUAGAAGAAAUGGAGGUUAGGUCAAAGGCUCGUUACAAUGGGAGAAUUCCUGCAGAACUGGAAAAAGAAAAAAAAGAGAGAAUGAAUGAGCCAUUGUAUUUCCCCAGAUCAGAGGGUGGGGGGAGAUGUGGCUCCAGCACACUGAGUGUCAGCCAUUUGCCAUGUGGCAUUUUUCUAUUGGUGGCUCUGAACCCAAAGCAUUUCCAAACCAGAGAUGCAGCUGGGAUGUAAAAUGCCAUCAGGUAUUACUCUUUAAGGCGGUGCCAUAAUGCAACUCCUUGAUUUCUUCUUAAUACGACUUUAUGCCUAUGUUGUCCUUCUGAAAUUUUAUCAUUCUUAACUCUGUUUUCCCAGGAGGGGGAAUACAAGAAGAAAUUAAAAGUUAACUUUGACAACAAAAUGAGAGAAAUAAUUAAAAAAGAGGGAAAAAAAGAGAGAGGAAAAAAACCCUUGAUGUCAAGAUAAUGGAAACUGUCAUUAAAAGUUGCUUAAAAAUGUGAGCUUUUCUUGUUCUGAGAAUUGCUCCUAAUGUAUCUGACUGCCCAGCUCAUUCCACGCUUCUGUAAUAUAUAUAUUGUAAGUGCAGCGUUUUUCACAAUGAAGUUAUGGUUUCAGUGUUACACCCUCACUGCCCACAAAAUACACAGACUUCAAAUUAACAAAUACACAUGCCUCAGAGUCUACACAAUGUCAGCCACAAAUAUGCAUGCAGGAAUGCUGGUUGCUAGAGUUUGGAGUCAGCUAUUAGCGAACAUUUGUAUGGUGUUGAGAUAAUUUGUUCGUAAAUGCCACACACGUACCACAUGGUUCAGAUGUGGUUUGGGGAGCCAUAAAAUGGGAUUUCCAACUGGUUCUGUCCCUACUCUUAAACCCGUAGUUCAAUUAGGGCUCAGAUGAGUCUCAGCCGUAGGGCUGCUGUCCUGGCUAUGGGAUAUUGCAACUCGCUGGGUUUUGUGGAGGCUGAAAGGCACGGAUGCAGCUGCUUGUUAGUGAAUAUGUGCACGUGCCAGUCUGCAGUGAGAUGUACUUGAAAUAACCUAUCCUAUAUGCUUCUGUGAAGAUGAUGGCCCCGAUGAUUUAGCUAUUUCAGUUCCAACUUGAAUUAUUCAUGUAUUUGAAAACACUCAUGAAUUAUUUGUGUUUUCACUAAAUAUAUAAUUUAAGACCCCAAAUCCUUCCAAUGGAAUAUACAAAUGAGAUUUAGCUACUUCUGUUGCUCGGAGCUGCUGCCCCUCGCUGUAGGCUCAUGGGUGUGCCAUGGCACAAGGAGGUCUAUACCUGCUCUGUGCCAGCCCCUGAUUCAGCAAGAAAGAAGCUCUAACUCAGCUCGUUUGCUUCUCAGGGCUGACGUUUUGAGAACGGUGACUCGGUUAUGCACAAAUGGAUUUAGGAUUUGGAGCCUGCUUUUUGUGGCCUCCAUUCCAAGAGGUGUUGCAUCUGGAUAUAAGGUGCCUGGCCGCAGGUGGUCCCUGCAGUGCAGGCACGAACUCACAGGCUGGCUCCAAUGCAUCCAAUCACUUUGGAGAUGUAACUUUAUCCUGGCAGUCCCUGGGCUGAGUCCAGUCCUGUCCGUCAUCCCCAGGCUGACAUAAUGUGGGCAACCAGCUUACAACUGGAGCACAUCACAUCACAUGCUCGUGUUAAUUCAGCAAAAAUGUGUUUGUGCUCGAUCCAGAUCAAAUCUGUCCUGCCAUGAAAUCUGGGAGUACAGAUGUGGUAUUAAUAGACGUGGAGGCACAGCCUCAGCCUCCUCCCCUCCCCAAACAUCUGCAGCUGAGGGGGCUGCUGCUGAGGGGAGGCAUCCUGUAGGGACAGCCGUUCUGCUCUCGUUUAACUGCCUGAGCUCCCCAGCACUUGCAUUAAUUUUGAAGAAAGUACUUUGGCAUAACUGACAGAAAAUCUGGUCCCUGCACCUCAAGGGAUUAGUUCCUUCCAGGGGAAGUUUGAGUAGUUGCACUCUAAUAAAGCACCUUAACGUAGGAUGUCGUUUGUCUCUUUUUUUUCCUUUCUUUUUUUUUCCUCUCUUAUCUCCCUCAUUGCAGCAGAACUCUUUUGUAUUAUACAUUUGAUUAUUAUUUGCAUGUAGUACACUGUAGAUGAUAUAUAGAAGUAUGUCUAUCUAUAUGUAGAUGUUUAUGUAAAAUUUACUCGUAGUUUUCCAUCAGGUUCCCUGUUUGUUUUCGUGGAAUCAUAGACUCAGUAAGGCUGGAGAAGGCCUUGAAGAUCACCCAGUCCAACCCCAGCCCACCCCCACUGUGCCCACUGCCCACGUCCCUCAGUGCCACAUCCCCAUCCUUCUUGAACACCUCCAUGGACGGUGACCCCACCGCCUCCGUGGGCAGCUUGUCUCAAUGUCUCGCCUCUUGUACUGCCUGGAAAUCUUUCUCUUCCAUGCCUUUUGACCCAAGAGCUGAGAUCCCCCUCUCUCUACGAGCUGAUUAACGCACUUGCAUGUCAUCUAAGGCACUGAGUGCUUACGCUCAUUGCUUGGUGCGUUGUGUGCGUGUGAGUGUGUGCGCCCGCGCUCAACAAAAGCCUUUUCUCUCUUCAUCUCUGUACUCUGGGACCGAGGCCAAGUUGUGAUUGUAAUAAUGUAAUCUCUUCUGAAUACUUGAAGUGAUGUGGAAAAAAAAAAAAAAAGAGAGAGAGAGAUUUUGAAAAUGAAAUAGAUUAAUCUAUAGAGCUGGAAGGGGAAAAUCAUGCAUUUUAAUUAGCUCCCGAAAGCAAUUUUCCUUAAAGUAGUACAUCCAGGUGUGCAGAAGUAUUCUCCUGCCUUGAGAGUCUCGCUUGUCUUUCUGGGGUCCUUGGAAAAGAAGGUGACAAGUGACAGGUUCGCUCGAGAUGCUUACAUCGAAGGGAUUGAACAUAGGGCAGCUCAAUGGGCCCUGAAUAUUCUCAGGCUGCAGUGGGCCUGGAGAAGCGUUUGAUUCCUUGAUAGAUGUUUAUGGACUGGUUGUACGCGUCUGAGCUGUCACAACACAGAUCUCCCAUUUGGGAAUGCUGGAGGCUCUUCAGCCUCUUCCAGCCCGCAUCUGCAGAGAACGCAGGAUUUCAUUCACCUCGCUCUGGAUUUUAUGCCCCAGUUAGGCAGACUGAAAUUUCUUAAACUUCUUUUUCAAUCGGUCACUUUGGCACCAUUAUGGCUUGGGCCGUUCUUUUCUGAAGUCUGUUUUAAUUCUUUACCUUUGUAUUCUAGCGGCGAGUUGCCUUGAAUUUACAGUUCCUGUUGAAUUCCUCUAAGAAUAGCACCUAGGUUUCCUACACUGCAGCUGCAAACAAGGUUUAAAAGCUUUGGGGAUUUCUUGGCAGCUAAUAACUCCCAGACUUCAGCAUAGUUCAUUUUCGAAAUGUUUCUCAUGCUUCAAUCUGGACAGCAUUAUGCAGGUCAGGGAAUCCUGUCAGACUGGGGGCCAGGGGAGGAUGUUCCAUCAAAAGCUCUUUUGGCAAUCUUAUUUUUUAUUUUUUAUUUUUUAAGAAAAGGUCCAAAAGGACCUUUAGGAAUACUGCUUAAUAUCCUUUCCAUCCAAAAUAGGAAAAGCACCUGUAACUGAUGCCAAGCACAGGACAAAAUAAAUAAAAAAAUCCCCAAGUAAAGACCUCCAACUGGAAAUAUUUCCUGAAUGAUCUCACUGAGAAUCCCGUAAGUGGUUGGAUCAGCUUUAGGGCGAGGGGAGUACAGGCUUGAACUCCUUACUGAAAGACAAGAAAAAGCUUCAGAAAAAAAAACAAAACAAAGAGCCAAACCCAGAUGCAAGCUGUUAGAACUGCUGGGAUUUUUUUUUUUUCAUUCCUGGUUGAGCCCUUUUGAUAUUUGCAUGGAAAAUGUCACAGGGAUACAGCAAGACUUGAGAUGAACCAACAGGGCCAAAAAGUGUCAUAAAGCGAUGUUUGUAGCUUUCAUCCCGUGCCCAUCCUGCUGUAGAGAUAGAGCUGAGCAGGAGCAGAGCCCAUAGGGUAAAUCUGGUGCUUAUGGACUGGGUGUCAGUAGCAGCGGUGGGGUGGCAGGCCUUGUUUCAUGUCAUUCUGGCCAUAGGAGUUCAUCCAGCUGUGCUGUGCAGUAAGCGUGCAUGUGUUUGGUGUGCUGUCCCACAGAGACAGGAGCCUUGUAGGCUUCUACCAUCAGGGAUGUCAGGCUCCCCUUCAUUACUGACUUGCACUGUUCAUAAGAACAACCUUCAAGGUUUUAGCCUCAUCAGACCCAUCACCAAGCCAGGGCUUAUCUUAAUUGUCUUUGCCUUCACCUGACCUACAGUCAGAUACUGUCUCUGCUUUUUAAUGGUGCAUCAGCAAUUGGUAUUUAUUUUAGAUUUAAUCAGACAGCACAUGUCACUAAUAUCUCAAUAAUUGUGAUCUUGCUGUCAAAAAGGAAGGAGAUGGAAUUUCAGAAGGUCACAUCAAAACUCUGAAUCUGAUCUCAGUAUAACGUGAUUCCCAGGCAGGACUGAUUGUAAUAACAAGGGACAGGUAUACAGAGGUUCAGGGCCACAGUCCAGAGAAAAAUGCACAGAUUUUUCUGUAGGCUUGGGCCAAACUGAGCCACUAGGAGACACAUGUGAGUGACAUCUUUGCUUAGAAAAAGCACCUGUUCAGAGCUGGAUCUGCAUUGUCCAGAAUUUCAAUCAUCUGUGCUCUACUUCUCUUCCAACCCUCUGAAUUUUAUCCGUUCAUAGAGGUUAAGCUGGAAGUAUCUUAAGGAGCGGAAUCCAUCAGCCCUGGCUUCCCGCUGCACUGGAAAUACUGCAAGGCAUUUUUCCUGAUGCAUUUCUUUCUGAGGCUCAGAAAUGUAAAACAACGGAACCACUCAGGUCAGAUGUUUCCAACCUGUGAAUUGCAGAUGAGUUUUAGUGGCCUCCCUCUGUUUUAACAGCCAGGAAAGAGAGUCCAGAAGUCUCUCUUUUCCAUUGCAGCAUGGGAUCAUGAGAUAUAAAAGACUGAGACCUGCCAAAAUAAAUCCUCACUGAAAGCGUGCUUGGAGUUUUAGAAAUAACAUGCAGAACUUAUCUGAGUUGAAUUCGUUUGCUUAAGCACAGCGUUAAUUUGGCUGAAGGUGAUCUCUCGUAGAAUCAUUAAAGUUGGAAAAGACCUCUAAGAUCAUCAGGUCCAACUGCCAACCCAUCACCACCGUGCCCGCUCAUAGGAUCAUUAAGGUUGGAAAGACCUCUAAGAUCAAGUCUAACUGCCAGCCCACCACCAGCAUACCCACUCAUAGAACCGUAGAACCAUUGAAUCAGAGUCUCCUCUCAGAUGCACUACGGGCUGCACGUUGUAAUACUGGGACUGAACAGGGAUACUGGGGCUCAGGGAUCCUCCACACCUCCAUCUGAACACCUUCAACUUGCCAACCUGAUGCGUUCCAUCAGAGCGGGCUGUUCUCUCGCAAUGUCACAGCAGAAUGCAAAGUAUGAAUCUGUGGCUGCAAGUGUAUUCAGAAAAGAAAGUAAUGCAUAUGCCAUAUGGUAGAGAUUGAUGUCUGGUAAUAGAUGCUUCAUAUAUUCCAAGAACAUCAUUUUCUCCAAAUGAAAAUUCAUACUCUUUAACUCUUUUUUAGCUUACAGCUUUCUAAGCCAAGGUCUUGGCUUGUUCUGCUUUUCACAUGGUGGUUGUGCCUUCCUGGAGAUUUCAUUGCAUCAGUACUGAGUGCUGUGCCUUUACUCCCCAGUGCUCUCCACGGUCCCAGCUUCACUUUGCCCUCAUCCCAGUGCCCUGGCAGGGAGGGCUGCACGGUGCUGACAGGUUUUAAUAGGAUGCAGAAGGGGUUGCUUUCAACAGGGGGUCAGCUUAUCUCUUUAUUUACUGUCUGGGAAAUACUGUCGGGUUCUGAGAGAUGAAGGGCCUGCACAAGGAAAAAAACUAAAUAGUUUACAAGGCAGAAUCUCGUUUUCAGGAGAGAAGUGAUCCUUCAGCACUUGUUAAGAGCGGUGUUGAUAAGUUUCCAUUGGAUAACUGAAACCUGGCUCAGUUCUUCAAACGCAAUGCCUCGCUCUCUAUGAGUGUCCUCAGUAAAAAUAACCUCUAAAUGCUUUUUAUUUAUCAGCCUUCAUCAACAAAUAUGGAAAUGGAGCCCAGCUAUGCUUUUCUCCCUGAGAUGUCUCUUUUUCUUCCUCGCUGCGUGCCACUCUGACCAACCUGGUAAAUUUAAGUAGGUGUGUGUGGAAGCUUUGAAAAGAUGCGUGGCCAAAUUCAGGAGCAUUUUAAAGCACAGGAGCUUAACACUUCAACGUGGUCCCUUCUGGCUCCAACAAAAUUCACAGGUUCUAGCGUGAGCUGCAGGGAUGUGUGGUGGGGUUAUGUUUGCUUUGGAGUGGAGCCCACAGCCAACCCACAGGGAUCACAUCCCAUUGUGUGAGUGCCUUAUGCAGACAUAAUGGAAAGGUGUAUCUACACCCCAAAAUGCAAAAUGCAUUUGUAGUGAGUCACUUUUGAGAGGUAACAGCGUUACCUACCUUAGUGAAAGAGGUGGGAAUUGGUCUUGAGACUUGUUUGCAGGGCAAAUCUCGUUGAGGUUGCCCAAGCAGGUCUGCUUUCAGCUCAUUGCCAGCUGCAAGUGAGUCUGGUGAGGGAGCAAAGAACCGAAAACAAAGAAACAAGAACACUUUUAAUCCAUUACUUCCUUCCAGCAUGACAGCAGUGGGGAUAUCAGAAUCGUGCUGCGUGUACUUUCUUCACCUGCUUGCACAACAGAAGGUAGGGAAGGAGAAAUGCCUUCUCCUUGCUUCUGUGCACACUGAAACCUCGGGAUCAGUAGAUGUAUUUUUGGAUGCAUUCCUUCUGUCAUUUGUGGCGUGCAAUGAGGAAACUCAAUUAAAUGUCAGGAGGGUGAAUGAGCUGAACAUACAGCAGGAGCCUAACAAAUCAGGAAAGGAAAUGCAUUCCCUGUUUGUAUCGGUCAUGGGACAGUGAGUGGAAUUGAUCCAAGUUAAAGUCUUUUAACUCCAGUGAGAGAAAGCAUCAUGUUGUUCAGACCACCAUCAGAUAGGGCGACAAGUUAUAUCUGAUGAAGACCGGGGGGCACAUCAUCGUUCAAAACAAGGGACUGAAAACAGAGCAGAGAAUUGCAGCCAACGUGCUGGGAAGCACUCCAAGAAGACAGCAAAGCUGCUUCUCUGUAUGGAUGAGAUGUUAACUGGACAGUGGAGUGAAGAAACACCAUCAGAGACAGCAAGACCUUCAUUUGCAGAGCGGGACCUUAUUCAGUGUUGUCUUCUUCCUCCUGGACAAGUGCAUGCCUCUGCUGGCUGAUGCCAAGAGAAGGUGCAGAAGAUGUCUUGGAACUUUGUGAUGGCCCUGAAGACUGUAGAUCUCUUUAUGAUACACAAAUCGUGCAUAGCAAGAGCUCAACGAUUUAAGUCUUCUUUUCUACCAGUUAACUCGACUCUGCCUGCAGCAGAGAGAAUAGUCCAGAGCCAAUUCCAGGGAUGUUCUGCUGGAACAGUGUUGGGGAUGCACAGUCAUAGCUUUUUUCCCAGACGAGAGGGAAAGAGGAAUUUAAGGAGGCUGCCAGUAGGAAGGAGAAAACCUGCCCCUCUUUUUUACUUGAUUUGCACACAUGCAGCCCACUGUAAUCCUUGCUGUUGGUGCUGGCUUGUCAAUUUCAAUAUGGUGAAAAAUGGCCUAGAAAUAAGCAUGGGCUCUUGUUAAUGGAAGAAUGAUUUGUAUAACUGGUAGUAAUAAAUAGGUAGAUAAAUCUCCAGCAAACAUAAGGGCACUUUUUAGCUGCCUGAGGAAGAUGCAGGUAAUUCAAACAAUUUUCUUGCCUGCGUGAAGGGAGGCAGCUGCUGGGAAACACCCACUCCUCAACACAUUCAUUGGCUUUUGGCCCACUUGGCGUGACUGCUGCCAUCACUCUUCACAUUUCUCCAUUGGCUUAACCUGUCAGUCCUGUUGGUGCUGGCAGAUUGCAUUUUCAUCUCAUUCUUCUCAGCCCAUGGGCCUGGGUAGCGAUGAGUAUCUGUCUCAUGAUGGCACAAAGAAGAGGAGCUUCCAGAUGUGCAGAGAGGAGAGGACAUCCGCUCUCAGCCGUGCAGUCUGUCAUUGGCCAGCUGUGUGGCACCAGGCAAUCCUAAAGUGGCUCAAAAUGGAGAGGGUGGAGGGGUUGCUGAGGUUUUUAUGGCCCCAUUUCACAAAAGCAGAAGGGUCCUGGGGAGAAGGCUGGGUGAGAGAACCUGCCAGAUGUGAGGAGAUGCUGAGCCAGAGGAAAACAUCCAAAGAGUGAAUCAGAUUUUCUAAGAGAAGCUGCGCGGAGCUAUUUUUCAGUGCAGUGUUUCAAUGCAGUGCAAUGUUUUCAUGUGCUCCUCCAGGCUGCUUUCUCCUCAGUGUUGUUCACCAUAAGAAAUGUUUUCAAUCUGGUGACACUUCUCCACCCUCAGCCCCCAGGAAAUGCGCAUAGCAAGCAAGAAUAUAUGGGCUUUUUUUGGGGGGGAGGGGAGGUUUCGUUAUUUAAAGAAAGAAUUGUUUCAAUUCCGGACAAUCUGUGAUCCAACUGUAAAGGUACCCCAAGGUUUCGCUCUAUGAGCAAUAGAGACUGACUACCUAAAAUCCAAACAGAUAUGCCCCCGAAGCCCCUAACUGAGUAAACAUCUUUCCCACACGCAGGAUCACCCAGGGUCAGAUCGUCUCCCGGUGUAAACUGGCAGAAAUCCAUUGAGUAAUCCCAUAAAUCAAUCUAAUUAAAAGUGUCUUCUGAUGUCUUUGUUUAGUAAUAAUGUUCGUUUAAGAAGGUGUUAUGGUCGGAAAACCAGUUCCUUCUUUGCAUCGCUGACACCUCUCCAGUCCCUUGGCUUACUUUUAAUGUUUUUAAAACACAGUUAGCUUUUAACACAGCAACAACGAAUGCGCUGUUCGUGGAGAACCUUUUGUAAUGCCAACACAUUUGCUCAGAGGACGCUUAUCUGGGCUUGUGUGCUGGGGAGGGAGGGGAAAAAAGAGUUGGUGCAAUUUGCUGGUAUAAACUGUCCGUGUAAGUAAUGAAGAUGUGCUCACUUGAUAAAAUAAGACCACCCUCCCUGAGAAGCUGUACCUGAAGCAUUAAAGAAAAAGAAUCCCAACCUUCUGAAAUUAUGUGAUUUAUUUAAGAACUAUUUUCCUAAGCUCUCCUACAAAUCUGACUACUCCGCUGGGACAAACCCAUUAGGCCUAAUUCAGCCAAACACUCCAGAGCUUAAAUUCACCACCAAAUCACUUAACCACAAGCUUAAUUUAAGCACGAGUUUAAGCCCCAGGCAUUCAAACCAUUCCUAUGUGAUUUAUUCCUGGCCCUUUGGAAAGCAGGAGGAAUGCAACAGGGCCAACCCACAACCGAUAAGGAUGGAAGACUGAAGUGACACACAGAGGUGUCUGGAAAUCUUUGCUUGACUCUGAACUUGCGUAUUGGCUGCAGACUGUUCUCUUGCUUUUCUCAUGGGCUCGAACCAACCCAUGAGCUCGGAAGCCCACAGCGAUCUUCCCCAGCUCCUGAAGAUGACAACGCGGAGCACAGAGGCUUCAGAACUGCUUUGGGAAGAAAAUGGGAUAGAUCGCUUGGCCAACCUCCCUCACCAGAACACCCCACAGGGUACAGCACUGCAACGAAAAGCAUCGCCCAGCGGUCUGAAGCAUGGAAAAAGCCCUUACCCCUGGCAACCGAAGAAGAAAACUUGGCGAAAAACACGUGCAUGCCCUCUGACUUGGAGGCUACAGAUACGAUGUGCUAACAGCGUAAGGGUGUUCUUGAGAACACAGGGGGCUUUUGCCCUCCUCUUGCGAAUGACCUCCAGCUCUGCCACGCGACACAUUCCUAAGCGCUACAUCCUCCCCGUCUUCACUUUUGCACUGAAUACAAAUGCGCACUUUCUUCAUGCGUGAGAAAGAGGGUUGUGUCAUUGCUGCUACCGCCAGACCAUCCACCAUCCACUCAAACCACAUUUUCUUUAUUAAAGCCAUUUUUCUCUGAAGUUUCCCCAUCGUACGCAGGCUGUGUUGAGACCUCCUCACCUCCCGAGAUAUUUAUAGGCUUUAGUGGAGAACUGUAUGGCCCUUUGAGGGCCAGGAUUUAAGUUUUAGCCUGCAUCGAGCAUAAAUACACUGGGGGUGAACGAAUAUUUCUUACUUAAAAGCCUUAUUUAAUUUGAUCCAAAGCACCUUAUUUUUCAGAGUUAAACAUUACUGUUGGAAGUAAUUUUAAAUCUGCACAACAGUGAAUCCUAAGAAUGGUUCUGAAUUGGCUUUACAAAUGCAUAUGGUUCUUUCUGAGAUUGAAAGAGGAGGAAGAAGAAAGGGAGGAAGAAAGGGAGACCGCAGGAACUGAAAUAAAAACAGACAAUCCCUUCGUCACCUAAAUAAAACCCGCUAAGCGUUGAAAUGGGGUCGAAAGAUAUUUGUUAAGACUGUGAAGUAUAAAGGCAGCAAUUAUUUCUUUGGAAAGUGUCUCUUUAAGGACUUAAGUGAAAGCCUGGAGGAGGCUGCCUCCAGCCAGCAGGAAUUGCCCCUGGCUUUACCAGGAGUGAGAGGAAGAAAGGAAGCAAUUACCCAGUGAACAAUGGUGCAUUAAGGAGCUGCAUUGUGUUUUCAAAACCAGGAUCUCUCCAGCUGGGUGAGAGGAGGGGAUGGCCUCCUGGGGAGGCAGUCAGUGGGGCCGGGACAGCCAGGCAGGUGCAGGAGAUGGAGGGAGGGAAGCGCCGUGGGACCUCUGAGGAUUGCCUCUUCCCUUCAGGACCACGGGACUGAAAGAAGUCCUCCCGUGGAUCCAGUUUUGGCAAGCCCUUUGUCAUCCCUCUUCCCCUUUGAUGCCUCGCCACACCCGCCGGCUGCCCCAGCUGCUCUCCAUAGCCAAAAACCGUCCAGGAGCUUCUUGACAAGAGCUCCUUGUACCCUGAUCCCUCCUCAGUUUCCCCUACAAUGAAUAGAGACACCUACAGCCGAUCGGGUGCUCAGAGCCCCGUCCAGCCUGACCUGGAGUGUCUGCAGGGAUGGGGCACCCACCACCUCUCUGUGCAACCUGUGCCAGUGCCUCACUGCCCUUAUUGCAAUAAACCUCCUCCUUA